Molecule: unclassified non-coding RNA, 380 nt
Filed under: uncultured Armatimonadota bacterium
Lineage: Bacteria; Bacillati; Armatimonadota
Description: uncultured Armatimonadetes bacterium contains 16S-23S intergenic spacer region
Source: RNAcentral
UCCGGCUUACACCGGCGGUCUCCUGUGAGUUCCCACCUUUAGUGCUGGUAACACAGGACGAGGGUUGCGCUCGUUGGCGGACUUAACCGUACACCUCACGGCACGAGCUGACGACAGCCAUGCAACAAGUGUCUUCUGGUCCCCUUGAGAGGGAGGGACGCCUUUCAGCGCCUUUCCAUCGAUGUCAAGUCUGGGUAAGGUUCUUCGGUUAGUAUCGAAUUAAUCCACAUGCUCCACCGCUUGUGCGGGUCCCCGUCAAUUCAUUUGAGUUUCAACCUUGCGGCCGUACUCCCCAGGCGGGAUACUUAGUGCGUUAGCUGCGGCACGAGAGGGGUCGAUACCUCUCACGCCUAGUAUCCAUCGUUUAGGGCGUGGACUAC